GGCAUAAAUCGGUAGAGCAUGAGACUCUUAAUCUCAGGGUCAUGGGUUUGAUCCCCAU
Molecule: transfer RNA, 58 nt
Filed under: Mesocricetus auratus (golden hamster)
Lineage: Eukaryota; Metazoa; Chordata; Mammalia; Rodentia; Cricetidae
Rfam family: tRNA
About the family: Transfer RNA (tRNA) molecules are approximately 80 nucleotides in length. Their secondary structure includes four short double-helical elements and three loops (D, anti-codon, and T loops). Further hydrogen bonds mediate the characteristic L-shaped molecular structure. tRNAs have two regions of fundamental functional importance: the anti-codon, which is responsible for specific mRNA codon recognition, and the 3' end, to which the tRNAs corresponding amino acid is attached (by aminoacyl-tRNA synthetases). tRNAs cope with the degeneracy of the genetic code in two manners: having more than one tRNA (with a specific anti-codon) for a particular amino acid; and 'wobble' base-pairing, i.e. permitting non-standard base-pairing at the 3rd anti-codon position.
Source: Rfam by way of RNAcentral